AUGAAUACUAGGUGUAGGGGUUGUCAUGACCUCUGUGCCGCCGCUAACGCAUUAAGUAUUCCGCCUGGGGAGUACGGUCGCAAGAUUAAAACUCAAAGGAAUUGACGGGGGCCCGCACAAGCAGCGGAGCAUGUGGUUUAAUUCGAAGCAACGCGAAGAACCUUACCUAGACUUGACAUCUCCUGCAUUACUCUUAAUCGAGGAAGUCCCUUCGGGGACAGGAUGACAGGUGGUGCAUGGCUGUCGUCAG
This 250-nucleotide ribosomal RNA is filed under the name uncultured bacterium. RNAcentral describes it as "partial 16S ribosomal RNA". It matches the Rfam family "Bacterial small subunit ribosomal RNA", at positions 809 to 1058 of the family's 1533-position model. The record is from RNAcentral.